Molecule: ribosomal RNA, 376 nt
Filed under: uncultured bacterium
Lineage: Bacteria
Description: bacterial SSU rRNA
Rfam family: Bacterial small subunit ribosomal RNA
Source: RNAcentral
AUACGUAGGGGGCGAGCGUUGUCCGGAAUUACUGGGCGUAAAGGGUGCGCAGGCGGUUUUCUAAGUCAGAUGUGAAAUCCCCGGGCUUAACUCGGGUGGUGCAUUUGAAACUGGGGAGCUUAGAGUGCAGGAGAGGAAAGCGGAAUUCCUAGUGUAGCGGUGAAAUGCGUAGAUAUUAGGAGGAACACCAGUGGCGAAGGCGGCUUUCUGGACUGUAACUGACGGUGAGGCACGAAAGCGUGGGGAGCAAACAGGAUUAGAUACCCUGGUAGUCCACGCUGUAAACGAUGGAUACUAGGUGUAGGGGGCAAAAGCCUUCUGUGCCGCAGCAAACGCAAUAAGUAUCCCGCCUGGGGAGUACGGCCGCAAGGUUGAA